CCUGGUAUAUAUAACGCAAUGGUACCACCUGAAUCCAUUCCGAACUCAGAAGUGAAAUAUUGUAGUGCCGAUGGUAGUGUGAGAUUUACUCAUGUGAGAGUAGGAAAAUACCAGGA
This 116-nucleotide ribosomal RNA is filed under the name Enterobacteriaceae endosymbiont of Plateumaris rustica. Lineage: Bacteria; Pseudomonadati; Pseudomonadota; Gammaproteobacteria; Enterobacterales; Enterobacteriaceae. The record is from RNAcentral.